RNAcentral lists this ribosomal RNA (420 nucleotides) under uncultured bacterium. RNAcentral's name for it is "partial 16S ribosomal RNA". It matches the Rfam family "Bacterial small subunit ribosomal RNA", at positions 360 to 777 of the family's 1533-position model. The record is from RNAcentral.
AAUAUUGGUCAAUGGGCGAGAGCCUGAACCAGCCAAAUCGCGUGAAGGAAGACUGCCNNNCGGGUNGUAAACUUCUUUUAUAGNGGCNUAAAAAAGGGAACGAGUUCCCUAUUGUAUUUACCCUAUGAAUAAGCAUCGUCUAACUCCGUGCCAGCAUCCGCGGUAAUACGGAUGAUGCGAGCGUUAUCCGGAUUUAUUGGGUUUAAAGGGUGCGAAGGCGGAAACUUAAGUCAGCGGUGAAAUCUCGACGCUUAACGUCGAACCUGCCGUUGAAACUGGGUUUCUUGAGUAUAGAUGAAGUAGGCGGAAUUCGUUGUGUAGCGGUGACAUGCAUAGAUAUAACGAGGAACUCCGAUUGCGUAGGCAGCUAACUAAACUAUAACUGACGCUCAUGCACGAAAGCGUGGGGAUCAAACAGGA